Molecule: ribosomal RNA, 805 nt
Filed under: uncultured Bacteroidota bacterium
Lineage: Bacteria; Pseudomonadati; Bacteroidota
Description: bacterial SSU rRNA
Rfam family: Bacterial small subunit ribosomal RNA
Source: RNAcentral
GGUAACAGGGAUUGCUUGCAAUCCGCUGACGACCGGCGCACGGGUGCGUAACGCGUAUGCAACCUACCUUCUACAGGGGGAUAGUCAAUAGAAAUGUUGAAUAGUACCCCAUACGAUCAUUUAUCUGCAUAGAUUAAUGAAGAAAGCUCCGGCGGUAGAAGAUGGGCAUGCGUCCUAUUAGUUAGUUGGUAAGGUAACGGCUUACCAAGACAUCGAUAGGUAGGGGUCCUGAGAGGGAGAUCCCCCACACUGGUACUGAGACACGGACCAGACUCCUACGGGAGGCAGCAGUGAGGAAUAUUGGACAAUGGAGGCAACUCUGAUCCAGCCAUGCCGCGUGCAGGAAGACGGCCCUAUGGGUUGUAAACUGCUUUUAUACAGGAAGAAUUGUACCUACGUGUAGGUAUUUGACGGUACUGUACGAAUAAGGAUCGGCUAACUCCGUGCCAGCAGCCGCGGUAAUACGGAGGAUCCAAGCGUUAUCCGGAAUCAUUGGGUUUAAAGGGUCCGUAGGCGGUCUUUUAAGUCAGAGGUGAAAUCCUGCAGCUCAACUGUAGCAUUGCCUUUGAUACUGAGAGACUUGAGUUAUUGUGAAGUAGUUAGAAUGUGUAGUGUAGCGGUGAAAUGCAUAGAUAUUACACAGAAUACCGAUUGCGAAGGCAGAUUACUAACAAUAUACUGACGCUGAGGGACGAAAGCGUGGGUAGCGAACAGGAUUAGAUACCCUGGUAGUCCACGCCGUAAACGAUGGAUACUAGCUGUUCGACCAACAUUGGUUGGUUGAGUGGCUAAGCGAAAGUGAUAA